This 278-nucleotide ribosomal RNA is filed under the name uncultured Peptostreptococcaceae bacterium. Its description in RNAcentral is "partial 16S ribosomal RNA". It matches the Rfam family "Bacterial small subunit ribosomal RNA", at positions 378 to 674 of the family's 1533-position model. The record is from RNAcentral. Lineage: Bacteria; Bacillati; Bacillota; Clostridia; Peptostreptococcales; Peptostreptococcaceae.
AAAGCCUGAUGCAGCAACGCCGCGUGAGUGAUGAAGGCCUUCGGGUCGUAAAACUCUGUCCUCAAGGAAGAUAAUGACGGUACUUGAGGAGGAAGCCCCGGCUAACUACGUGCCAGCAGCCGCGGUAAUACGUAGGGGGCUAGCGUUAUCCGGAUUUACUGGGCGUAAAGGGUGCGUAGGCGGUCUUUCAAGUCAGGAGUGAAAGGCUACGGCUCAACCGUAGUAAGCUCUUGAAACUGGGAGACUUGAGUGCAGGAGAGGAGAGUGGAAUUCCUAGU